UACGUAGGGUGCAAGCGUUAAUCGGAAUUACUGGGCGUAAAGCGUGCGCAGGCGGUGAUGUAAGACAGAUGUGAAAUCCCCGGGCUCAACCUGGGAACUGCAUUUGUGACUGCAUCGCUGGAGUGCGGCAGAGGGGGAUGGAAUUCCGCGUGUAGCAGUGAAAUGCGUAGAUAUGCGGAGGAACACCGAUGGCGAAGGCAGCCCCCUGGGCCAACACUGACGCUCAGGCACGAAAGCGUGGGGAGCAAACAGG
RNAcentral lists this ribosomal RNA (253 nucleotides) under uncultured bacterium. RNAcentral's name for it is "partial 16S ribosomal RNA". It matches the Rfam family "Bacterial small subunit ribosomal RNA", at positions 524 to 776 of the family's 1533-position model. The record is from RNAcentral.